Molecule: small nuclear RNA, 18 nt
Filed under: Arabidopsis thaliana (thale cress)
Lineage: Eukaryota; Viridiplantae; Streptophyta; Magnoliopsida; Brassicales; Brassicaceae
Description: snRNA_16632
Source: RNAcentral
UCCCCAUUCGACCCGUCU